GCCCGCAUAGCUCAGUGGUAGAGCGCUUCCUUGGUAAGGAAGAGGUCAUCGGUUCAAAUCCGAUUGCGGGCU
This 72-nucleotide transfer RNA is filed under the name Acidobacteriota bacterium. Its description in RNAcentral is "Acidobacteria bacterium (drinking water metagenome) tRNA-Thr". It matches the Rfam family "tRNA". From Rfam's summary of the family: Transfer RNA (tRNA) molecules are approximately 80 nucleotides in length. Their secondary structure includes four short double-helical elements and three loops (D, anti-codon, and T loops). Further hydrogen bonds mediate the characteristic L-shaped molecular structure. tRNAs have two regions of fundamental functional importance: the anti-codon, which is responsible for specific mRNA codon recognition, and the 3' end, to which the tRNAs corresponding amino acid is attached (by aminoacyl-tRNA synthetases). tRNAs cope with the degeneracy of the genetic code in two manners: having more than one tRNA (with a specific anti-codon) for a particular amino acid; and 'wobble' base-pairing, i.e. permitting non-standard base-pairing at the 3rd anti-codon position. Lineage: Bacteria; Pseudomonadati; Acidobacteriota. The record is from RNAcentral.